RNAcentral lists this non-coding RNA (30 nucleotides) under Rattus norvegicus (Norway rat). Lineage: Eukaryota; Metazoa; Chordata; Mammalia; Rodentia; Muridae. The record is from RNAcentral.
UGAAAUGUAUAAAGUCCUUAACCCCGUAGU